RNAcentral lists this ribosomal RNA (507 nucleotides) under uncultured bacterium. RNAcentral describes it as "bacterial SSU rRNA". It matches the Rfam family "Bacterial small subunit ribosomal RNA", at positions 337 to 838 of the family's 1533-position model. The record is from RNAcentral.
UCCUACGGGAGCAGCAGUGGGGAAUAUUGCACAAUGGGCGCAAGCCUGAUGCAGCCAUGCCGCGUGUGUGAAGAAGGCCUUCGGGUUGUAAAGCACUUUCAGUCAGGAGGAAAGGUUAGUAGUUAAUACCUGCUAGCUGUGACGUUACUGACAGAAGAAGCACCGGCUAACUCCGUGCCAGCAGCCGCGGUAAUACGGAGGGUGCGAGCGUUAAUCGGAAUUACUGGGCGUAAAGCGUACGCAGGCGGUUUGUUAAGCGAGAUGUGAAAGCCCCGGGCUCAACCUGGGAACUGCAUUUCGAACUGGCAAACUAGAGUGUGAUAGAGGGUGGUAGAAUUUCAGGUGUAGCGGUGAAAUGCGUAGAGAUCUGAAGGAAUACCGAUGGCGAAGGCAGCCACCUGGGUCAACACUGACGCUCAUGUACGAAAGCGUGGGGAGCAAACAGGAUUAGAUACCCUGGUAGUCCACGCCGUAAACGAUGUCUACUAGAAGCUCGGAGCCUCGGCU